UAGCCGAGUUGUAGAGACUGAUCGGCCACAUUGGGACUGAGACACGGCCCAAACUACCUACGGGAGGCAGCAGUAGGGAAUCUUCCACAAUGGACGCAAGUCUGAUGGAGCAACACCGCGUGAGUGAAGAAGGGUUUCGGCUCGUAAAGCUCUGUUGUUGGUGAAGAAGGACAGGGGUAGUAACUGACCUUUGUUUUGACGGUAAUCAAUUAGAAAGUCACGGCUAACUACGUGCCAGCAGCCGCGGUAAU
This 251-nucleotide ribosomal RNA is filed under the name uncultured Lactobacillus sp. RNAcentral's name for it is "partial 16S ribosomal RNA". It matches the Rfam family "Bacterial small subunit ribosomal RNA", at positions 284 to 524 of the family's 1533-position model. The record is from RNAcentral. Lineage: Bacteria; Bacillati; Bacillota; Bacilli; Lactobacillales; Lactobacillaceae.